This 482-nucleotide ribosomal RNA is filed under the name uncultured bacterium. RNAcentral's name for it is "partial 16S ribosomal RNA". It matches the Rfam family "Bacterial small subunit ribosomal RNA", at positions 30 to 507 of the family's 1533-position model. The record is from RNAcentral.
AUUGAACGCUGGCGGCAUGCCUUACACAUGCAAGUCGAACGGUAACGGGCCUUCGGGUGCCGACGAGUGGCGAACGGGUGAGUAAUACAUCGGAACGUGCCCGAUCGUGGGGGAUAACGAGGCGAAAGCUUUGCUAAUACCGCAUACGAUCUACGGAUGAAAGCAGGGGACCGCAAGGCCUUGCGCGGACGGAGCGGCCGAUGGCAGAUUCGGUAGUUGGUGGGAUAAAAGCUUACCAAGCCGACGAUCUGUAGCUGGUCUGAGAGGAUGAUCAGCCACACUGGGACGGAGACACGGCCCAGACUCCUACGGGAGGCAGCAGUGGGGAAUUUUGGACAAUGGGCGCAAGCCUGAUCCAGCCAUGCCGCGUGCAGGAUGAAGGCCUUCGGGUUGUAAACUGCUUUUGUACGGAACGAAAAGCCUUCUUUUAAUACAGGAGGGUCAUGACGGUACCGUAAGAAUAAGCACCGGCUAACUACGUG